Molecule: long non-coding RNA, 1073 nt
Organism: Myotis daubentonii (Daubenton's bat)
Lineage: Eukaryota; Metazoa; Chordata; Mammalia; Chiroptera; Vespertilionidae
Source: RefSeq, a predicted model, not a curated record
CGCCCCUUGGCUGUUGCCCUCCCAGGCCCAAGUGUUACCUCCUCCAGAAAGUCUCCCAGGACUGAAGGCUUCUGGCUGUUGUGAGAAUAAACAAGUAAGCUUUUCUGUCAAAGAACAGUUUAGGCAGCUGCCAUUUAGGCCCACAGGACUUACAGCUCCCCUGGGGGCCACCAUCUUGGGCUCUGUCUUACCCCUCCCCUUCCUCUGAAUUAGCCAAUCACACAAUAGUGGGAAGCCAAGCUCUGAGCCCUGACCAAUCAAGUCAGAGUUCAGAGUGAGGGGCAGGGCAGACCCCUCGUCAGGAAAUAAAACCCUUUGGAUGUGCUUUGCCAUUGAUUUCCAGCUGGAGGAGCACCCUUGUGGACAGGGGUAAAUGGCCUUGCCGAUCCAGUUUCGAGUGUUUAUCUCAUUCCUGCGACAUUGUUGAGAGCAUUUCUAACACUGGAAACCACUGGGUACACACCGGGGAAGAGCAGGAAGCAAAGUCCCAAGUCUGUUUCUGGGUCAGACCAGCCAGAGCAGGAGGAGAGAGGUUGGUAUCCUCAAGGUGUGAGCUCUGAUUCCUUGAGAAGAUGCCAAAAAAAGAAAAGAAAGAAAAGAAUUCCUGGCUCGGGAUCGUUAUGGGAGCAAUCACUCUGAAUUGCCUAGCAUGGGCAACAGGGCCUGGUGCGCUUGUGCUAGCCGUGGGCUCCGUGGCAGUAGGACUCACAGGAAUCAGCUUCUUCUGGUGGAAUAAGGCCAUGGAAUACAAGAUGCAGGAAAAGCAGUCCUCGGGUUACCUUCGUCAUGUCCUGGUUACGACAGGAAUUGUUACCUUUCUUUUCAUUUUUUUGUACUGUUUCACUUCAUUUCUGACUUAUGGCAAAAAUGGCCUUAUGUCAAGCUAUAGAAACUGAUCUCCCAGGUUACCCGAGGACCUACUCUAUUAUUGACAGGAAUCCUUUCCAAUCUCCUGGCCAGAAGGAGAAGGCUCCGCCUUCCUGGGGAAUGUGUGAAGCAACAUGCUAUACACAGCUUAUAUUUUGAGUAUAAACAAGUCAACUUUUGAGCAAAAUCAAAAUUAAUUACAUACA